CUCAGCACUCCAGCAGUUUCCNAAUAUUAGUCAAUGCUCGCAAGAGUGAACUAGCUAACUGAAAUCACAUGAAACAUAAUUGUGUUAAUUGUGAUAAGGUAAGGGAAAAAUUUGAUAUUACCUUACUAUUAGUGUUGUCCAAAUCUGGUGCCAGAAGACUCGGUAAGACCAGAAACGCAAACGUUAAUCGUCUUAAUCAGGCGUAAAGGGUUUGUAGGCUGCUUUUACUAUUUCUAAUUAAAAUAGCUCUUAUUUUUAAGUUAAAUAGAUAUACAAUAAAAGCUAGAAUCAAAAAGAGGAUAAGCCGAAUAAUACUUAGAGUAGGGAUGAUAUCCAUAGAUACUAAGGGGAAUACUAAAGGUGAAAGCUUUUAUCUACUAAUGAUUGACGCUGAGGAACGAAGGUGAGAAUAGGAAAUAGGAUUAGAUACCCAGAUACCUCUCACUGUCAACGAUGAAUGGUGGUUUGUUAGUUUUAAUAAAAACUGAUAACGAUGUUAACGCGAUAACCAUUCCGCCUUGCGAGUACGGUUGCAAGACUGAAACCAAAAAAAUUAGUCGGUCUCGAAGCAAACGAAGUGGAGCAUGUUAUUUAAUUCGAUAAAUUCCGCAAUCCGCA
Molecule: ribosomal RNA, 618 nt
Filed under: Amanita curtipes
Lineage: Eukaryota; Fungi; Basidiomycota; Agaricomycetes; Agaricales; Amanitaceae
Description: SSU rRNA
Rfam family: Bacterial small subunit ribosomal RNA
Source: RNAcentral